UACGAACUGUGCAAACGUUAUUCGGAAUCACUGGGCGUAAAGGGCACGUAGGCGGCUUGGCAAAUCGGUCGUGGAAUCCCGACGCUUACCGUCGGAACGGCGGCCGAAAAUACCGAGCUCGAGGGCGUGAGGGGUCACUGGAACUCCUGGUGAAGCGGUGAAAUGCGUAGAUAUCAGGAGGAACGCCGGAGGCGAAAGCGAGUGACUGGCGCGUUCCUGACGCUGAGGUGCGAAAGCUAGGGGAGCAAACAGG
RNAcentral lists this ribosomal RNA (253 nucleotides) under uncultured bacterium. RNAcentral's name for it is "partial 16S ribosomal RNA". It matches the Rfam family "Bacterial small subunit ribosomal RNA", at positions 524 to 776 of the family's 1533-position model. The record is from RNAcentral.